AGAGUUUGAUCAUGGCUCAGGAUGAACGCUGGCGGCGUGCCUAAUACAUGCAAGUCGAACGAGGUGCUUUUGUAGCAAUACGAGAGUAUCCUAGUGGCGAACGGGUGAGUAACGCGUUGGUGACCUACCCCAAAGUGUGGGAUAACAGUCCGAAAGGAUUGCUAAUACCGCAUGUGGUUAUUGGAUUUAGAAACCGGUAACUAAAGGAGCAAUUCGCUUUGGGAGGGACCUGCGUCCCAUCAGCUAGUUGGUGAGGUAAUAGCUCACCAAGGCGACGACGGGUAGGGGACCUGAGAGGGUGGCCCCCCACAAUGGAACUGAAACACGGUCCAUACACCUACGGGUGGCAGCAGUAGGGAAUAUUGCACAAUGGGCGAAAGCCUGAUGCAGCAACGCCGCGUGUGUGAUGAAGGCCUUCGGGUCGUAAAGCACUUUUCUGGGAGAUGAGAAAGGACAGUAUCCCAGGAAUAAGUCUCGGCUAACUACGUGCCAGCAGCCGCGGUAAUAC
Molecule: ribosomal RNA, 508 nt
Filed under: uncultured bacterium
Lineage: Bacteria
Description: bacterial SSU rRNA
Rfam family: Bacterial small subunit ribosomal RNA
Source: RNAcentral